CAGUUCAUUGUAUGUUCAAAAAACUAUAAACAAAUUAAACUUUCAACAACGGAUCUCUGGUUUCUCGCAUCGAUGAAGAACGCAGCGAAUUGCGAUGAGUAAUGUGAAUGNCAGAAUUCAGUGAAUCAUCGAAUCUUUGAACGCAUCUUGCGCUCCUUGGUAUUCCGAGGAGCAUGCCUGUUUGAGUGUCAUGAAACUCUAUCAACCACUGUUCUUCUUUAUUGAUAAACUUUGGCUUGGACUUGGGCGCUUUGUUGGUUUUCUUUCGGGAGAAUCGACUCGCCUUAAACGAAUUAGUGGUCUUUGCAGCCUAAGCUUGGUUAGCAUCGGUCUUGACAUGAUAAGAAAUUGUCGUCGAGUCUGGUGUUUUUGUCUGUUUAUUCAGAGUCAAGCAUAGUGCGCGAUCUGCUUCUAACUCUAAUCGGUCUAACCGAUUAACUUUUAUGAUCAGGCCUCAAAUCAGGUAGGACUACCCGCUGAACUUAAGCAUAUCAAUAAGCGGAGGAAAAGAAACUAACAAGGAUUCCCCUAGUAACGGCGAGUGAAGCGGGAUGAGCUCAAAUUUAAAAUCUGGCAGUCUCCGAUUGUCCGAGUUGUAAUCUAGAGAAGCGUCUUCCGUGC
This 621-nucleotide ribosomal RNA is filed under the name uncultured fungus. Its description in RNAcentral is "eukaryotic LSU rRNA". The stretch from base 38 to 191 matches the Rfam family "5.8S ribosomal RNA". The record is from RNAcentral. Lineage: Eukaryota; Fungi.